UCCGUAGGCGGAAGAUUAAGUCAGAGGUGAAAUCCCACAGCUCAACUGUGGAACUGCCUUUGAUACUGGUUGUCUUGAGUUAUAGUGAAGUAGAUAGAAUAUGUAGUGUAGCGGUGAAAUGCAUAGAUAUUACAUAGAAUACCGAUUGCGAAGGCAGUCUACUAACUGUAUACUGACGCUAAUGGACGAAAGCGUGGGGAGCGAACAGGAUUAGAUACCCUGGUAGUCC
RNAcentral lists this ribosomal RNA (229 nucleotides) under uncultured bacterium. RNAcentral's name for it is "partial 16S ribosomal RNA". It matches the Rfam family "Bacterial small subunit ribosomal RNA", at positions 568 to 796 of the family's 1533-position model. The record is from RNAcentral.